This 879-nucleotide ribosomal RNA is filed under the name uncultured bacterium. Its description in RNAcentral is "bacterial SSU rRNA". It matches the Rfam family "Bacterial small subunit ribosomal RNA", at positions 1 to 902 of the family's 1533-position model. The record is from RNAcentral.
CGCCCUUAGAGUUUGAUCCUGGCUCAGGAUGAACGCUGGCGGCGCGCCUAACACAUGCAAGUCGAACGGCACCCAUCUUCGGAUGGAAGCGAGUGGCGAACGGCUGAGUAACACGUGGAGAACCUGCCCCCUCCCCCGGGAUAGCCGCCCGAAAGGACGGGUAAUACCGGAUACCCCGGGGUGCCGCAUGGCACCCCGGCUAAAGCCCCGACGGGAGGGGAUGGCUCCGCGGCCCAUCAGGUAGACGGCGGGGUGACGGCCCACCGUGCCGACAACGGGUAGCCGGGUUGAGAGACCGACCGGCCAGAUUGGGACUGAGACACGGCCCAGACUCCUACGGGAGGCAGCAGUGGGGAAUCUUGCGCAAUGGGGGGAACCCUGACGCAGCGACGCCGCGUGCGGGACGGAGGCCUUCGGGUCGUAAACCGCUUUCAGCAGGGAAGAGUCAAGACUGUACCUGCAGAAGAAGCCCCGGCUAACUACGUGCCAGCAGCCGCGGUAAUACGUAGGGGGCGAGCGUUAUCCGGAUUCAUUGGGCGUAAAGCGCGCGUAGGCGGCCCGGCAGGCCGGGGGUCGAAGCGGGGGGCUCAACCCCCCGAAGCCCCCGGAACCUCCGCGGCUUGGGUCCGGUAGGGGAGGGUGGAACACCCGGUGUAGCGGUGGAAUGCGCAGAUAUCGGGUGGAACACCGGUGGCGAAGGCGGCCCUCUGGGCCGAGACCGACGCUGAGGCGCGAAAGCUGGGGGAGCGAACAGGAUUAGAUACCCUGGUAGUCCCAGCCGUAAACGAUGGACGCUAGGUGUAGGGGGACGAUCCCCCCGUGCCGCAGCCAACGCAUUAAGCGUCCCGCCUGGGGAGUACGGCCGCAAGGCUAAAACUC